Molecule: small nuclear RNA, 105 nt
Filed under: Myotis davidii
Lineage: Eukaryota; Metazoa; Chordata; Mammalia; Chiroptera; Vespertilionidae
Source: RNAcentral
GUGCUUGCUUCUGCAGCACAUAUACUAAAAUGGCAAUGAUACAGAGAAGAUUAGCAUGGCCUCUGUGCAAGGAUGAUGCAAAUUUGUGAAGUGUUUAAAUUUAAA